CACUCUUUUACUGUGAAACUGCGAAUGGCUCAUUAAAUCAGUUAUCGUUUAUUUGAUAGUACCCUACUACAUGGAUACCUGUGGUAAUUCUAGAGCUAAUACAUGCGCAAAACCCCGACUUCGGAAGGGGUGUAUUUAUUAGAUAAAAAACCAAUGCCCUUCGGGGCUCCUUGGUGAUUCAUAAUAACUUCACGAAUCGCAUGGCCUUGCGCCGGCGAUGGUUCAUUCAAAUUUCUGCCCUAUCAACUUUCGAUGGUAGGAUAGUGGCCUACCAUGGUGGCAACGGGUAACGGGGAAUUAGGGUUCGAUUCCGGAGAGGGAGCCUGAGAAACGGCUACCACAUCCAAGGAAGGCAGCAGGCGCGCAAAUUACCCAAUCCCGAUACGGGGAGGUAGUGACAAUAAAUACUGAUACAGGGCUCUUUUGGGUCUUGUAAUUGGAAUGAGAACAAUCUAAAUCCCUUAACGAGGAACAAUUGGAGGGCAAGUCUGGUGCCAGCAGCCGCGGUAAUUCCAGCUCCAAUAGCGUAUAUUAAAGUUGUUGCAGUUAAAAAGCUCGUAGUUGAACCUUGGGCCCGUCCUGCCGGUCCGCCUCACCGCGAGUACUGGUCCGGAUGGGCCUUUCUUUCUGGGGAAUCCCAUGGCCUUCACUGGCUGUGGCGGGGAACCAGGACUUUUACUGUGAAAAAAUUAGAGUGUUCAAAGCAGGCCUUUGCUCGGAUACAUUAGCAUGGAAUAAUAGAAUAGGACGUGCGGUUCUAUUUUGUUGGUUUCUAGGACCGCCGUAAUGAUUAAUAGGGAUAGUCGGGGGCGUCAGUAUUCAGCUGUCAGAGGUGAAAUUCUUGGAUUUGCUGAAGACUAACUACUGCGAAAGCAUUCGCCAAGGAUGUUUUCAUUAAUCAGGGAACGAAAGUUAGGGGAUCGAAGACGAUCAGAUACCGUCGUAGUCUUAACCAUAAACUAUGCCGACUAGGGAUCGGGCGGGGUUUCUAUGAUGACCCGCUCGGCACCUUACGAGAAAUCAAAGUUUUUGGGUUCUGG
Molecule: ribosomal RNA, 1040 nt
Filed under: Talaromyces purpureogenus
Lineage: Eukaryota; Fungi; Ascomycota; Eurotiomycetes; Eurotiales; Trichocomaceae
Description: SSU rRNA
Rfam family: Eukaryotic small subunit ribosomal RNA
Source: RNAcentral